Molecule: transfer RNA, 73 nt
Filed under: Mesocricetus auratus (golden hamster)
Lineage: Eukaryota; Metazoa; Chordata; Mammalia; Rodentia; Cricetidae
Rfam family: tRNA
About the family: Transfer RNA (tRNA) molecules are approximately 80 nucleotides in length. Their secondary structure includes four short double-helical elements and three loops (D, anti-codon, and T loops).
Source: Rfam by way of RNAcentral
GCCCAGCUAGGUCAGUCGGUAGAGCAUGAGACUCUUAAUCUCAGGGUCAUGGGUUCUUGCCCCAUGUUGAGCA